Molecule: ribosomal RNA, 301 nt
Filed under: uncultured bacterium
Lineage: Bacteria
Description: partial 16S ribosomal RNA
Rfam family: Bacterial small subunit ribosomal RNA
Source: RNAcentral
CAGUAGCCGGGUAAUACGAAGGGGGCUAGCGUUGUUCGGAUUUACUGGGCGUAAAGCGCACGUAGGCGGACUUUUAAGUCAGGGGUGAAAUCCCGGGGCUCAACCCCGGAACUGCCUUUGAUACUGGAAGUCUUGAGUAUGGUAGAGGUGAGUGGAAUUCCGAGUGUAGAGGUGAAAUUCGUAGAUAUUCUGAGGAACACCAGUGGCGAAGGCGGCUCACUGGACCAUUACUGACGCUGAGGUGCGAAAGCGUGGGGAGCAAACAGGAUUAGAUACCCCUGUAGUCCCUGUCUCUUAUACA